CACGUAGGGUGCGAGCGUUGUCCGGAAUUAUUGGGCGUAAAGAGCUCGUAGGCGGUGUGUCGCGUCGGCCGUGAAAACCUGCAGCUUAACUGUGGGCCUGCGGUCGAUACGGGCAUCACUGGAGUUCGGCAGGGGAGACUGGAAUUCCUGGUGUAGCGGUGAAAUGCGCAGAUAUCAGGAGGAACACCGGUGGCGAAGGCGGGUCUCUGGGCCGAUACUGACGCUGAGGAGCGAAAGCGUGGGGAGCGAACAGG
RNAcentral lists this ribosomal RNA (254 nucleotides) under uncultured bacterium. RNAcentral's name for it is "partial 16S ribosomal RNA". It matches the Rfam family "Bacterial small subunit ribosomal RNA", at positions 524 to 776 of the family's 1533-position model. The record is from RNAcentral.